AAAUAGACCCUGCAUUUAAUAUGCAAUCUAAAGUAUGCGUACUAUAGAGCCACUAUGUCAAUGGACAUAGACUAUGGCUUAUGAUAUUUUAUUGAUGAUAAUAAUGAAAUGUAUGACUACUGAUGUAAUAGAAAAAAAGAUAGUUUUUAUUUAGGUAAUAUUUAUAGUGUGCUCUCCUGUACCUCAUCUCAUUUGCUGCCCAUGGUAACCCUAUGAGGUAGGUAAGGAAGGGAUUAUCUUUCCAUUUUUAUAGAUCAUGAAUUACUGCACAGAGAUUAAAUCAUUUGUCCAAGGUCAUCAGCGAGUAAAUGCUAAUGCCAGUGCCAGAACUUUUCUGAAAGAUGAAAAGACUGAUGACAAAGAACUUAUUAGUUAAGGUUUCAUUAGGACAGAAGACAAACUAGAAAUAUCAGUUAUCUAUGAGGGAAGGUGGCUGGAAAUCAGGUAAAUGAAAUAAAAUAUCAAGAAUAAAAAAAGAAGAAUUACGUUGAAAUUAUAAAAUAAAAUAUUUGAAAACGGGUUCUUCUCUUCGUAUUUAUUUCUAUGUAAAGGAUGACAAAUCCUUUGGAAGGAGAAUGACAUUUCUAUCAGUAGUUUGGCAUGCUGUAUAGGAGGAAAAGUGAAAAAUAUAUAAUCCAAAAUUUUGUAGAAGAAAACAUAAGCCCUUGGAGGGAGUUUCCAGAGGUAGAAGGAAGCCAAAUUUAGUAUCUAUGUUAGAGGAAGAGUGGAAGAUUUAAAAAACUAAGAAAACUAAAAUACUGUAUGAUUGAUCUCAUGGUGGACAUUAAUUUAAUGGCAGGAAAACAAAGGGCUUGGGCUAGGGAAAACAGCACAGAGGGGGAGCAUUUUAAAAUAUGCUAUUAUUUAGCUCAACACUUGCACUCAAUUCCCAGAAAAUAUUUUUCUCCCCAGUGGAAGAAAGUAUGAGUGUUAAAGUAUAUCCAGAAUUAUUUGAGAAAAUCCAACUGAGAAGUAUCUUUCCAAAUACUGAUUAAACCAGAUUUUAGUGAGAUUUCUCCAGUAUCCUGUCAACAACAUAGAGAUGAUUUCCUUUGAAAUAUGAAUGGUGGGGAUCCCUGGGUGGCUCAGUAGUUUAGCGCCUGCCUUCGGCCCAGGGCAUGACCCUGGAGUCCCGGGAUCGAGUCCCGGGAUCGAGUCCCACAUUGAGUCCUCCAUCGGGUUCCCUGCGUGGAGCCUGCUUCUUGCUCUGCCUGUGUCUCUGCCUCUCUCUCUCUCUCUCUCAUGAAUACAUAAACAUAAUCUUAAAAAAAAAAAAAAGGAAUGGUAUGUUGCUUAGCUAAACAAGUUUUUAAGUUACAUAGUUUAGAGCAGGGCAUUUAGCCUCUUACUACAUCUCAAAUUCUGCUUCACACUCGUGUAUUGCCUAUUUUAAUUCAUAGUUGAAUGCUAAAUGUUUGUUGUUGUUGUUGUUUUAAAUACUAUAAAAAAUAAAUAAAUACUAUAGAAAAAAGUAGUUAAGUGUGGGUUGGAGUAGGAAAACAGCAGUUUUGUUACCCCAAGAGGGAUGGUAUUCUUAAGUGAAAGCCUGCAUGGAAAGGCAAUAAGCAGCAGUAUUUAAACUCUGUUGUUGAUUAAUACUGUUAUAAUUUAGAAGGAAGUGUGCAUGUUGUAAUAUGAUUGACACAGGGUAUGAUUCAUCGCAGGGAAGAUAGGAGAGGGGAAACAAUCAGAAGGAAGUAGUAAAAUUGGAAAUGAUUAGGGCAACUAUUUGUUUUAGUUGGUUCAGGACAGUUGUGGUUUUACAUUUGUUGUCUCUGCAUACUUGUUAUUAACGUCUGCGCUUCCUCUCAAAAGUAUUCUAGUUUUAAUAAUACAUUAAAAAAAUAAUGAUGACAUUAUAUGGUCAUCUUAGAAAUGAUGGAAGCAUGGUACAUAUUAUCAGUGCCUUU
This 1910-nucleotide long non-coding RNA is filed under the name Canis lupus familiaris (dog). RNAcentral's name for it is "lncRNA (ENSCAFG00845010460.1)". The record is from RNAcentral. Lineage: Eukaryota; Metazoa; Chordata; Mammalia; Carnivora; Canidae.